UUGCUCUCUGAUUCAGCGGCGGACGGGUGAGUAAUGCCUAGAAUCUGCCUGGUAGUGGGGGACAACGUUUCGAAAGGAACGCUAAUACCGCAUACGUCCUACGGGAGAAAGCAGGGGACCUUCGGGCCUUGCGCUAUCAGAUGAGCCUAGGUCGGAUUAGCUAGUUGGUGAGGUAAUGGCUCACCAAGGCGACGAUCCGUAACUGGUCUGAGAGGAUGAUCAGUCACACUGGAACUGAGACACGGUCCAGACUCCUACGGGAGGCAGCAGUGGGGAAUAUUGGACAAUGGGCGAAAGCCUGAUCCAGCCAUGCCGCGUGUGUGAAGAAGGUCUUCGGAUUGUAAAGCACUUUAAGUUGGGAGGAAGGGUUGUAGAUUAAUACUCUGCAAUUUUGACGUUACCGACAGAAUAAGCACCGGCUAACUCUGUGCCAGCAGCCGCGGUAAUACAGAGGGUGCAAGCGUUAAUCGGAAUUACUGGGCGUAAAGCGCGCGUAAGUGGUUUGUUAAGUUGGAUGUGAAAGCCCCGGGCUCAACUGGGAACUGCAUUCAAACUGACAGCUAGAGUAUGGUAGAGGGUGGUGGAAUUUCUGUGUAGCGUGAA
Molecule: ribosomal RNA, 603 nt
Filed under: bacterium PS-3
Lineage: Bacteria
Description: bacterial SSU rRNA
Rfam family: Bacterial small subunit ribosomal RNA
Source: RNAcentral